RNAcentral lists this ribosomal RNA (301 nucleotides) under uncultured bacterium. RNAcentral's name for it is "partial 16S ribosomal RNA". It matches the Rfam family "Bacterial small subunit ribosomal RNA", at positions 509 to 807 of the family's 1533-position model. The record is from RNAcentral.
CAGUCGCCACGGGAAUACGUAGGGUGCAAGCGUUAAUCGGAAUUACUGGGCGUAAAGCGUGCGCAGGCGGUUAUAUAAGACAGAUGUGAAAUCCCCGGGCUCAACCUGGGAACUGCAUUUGUGACUGUAUAGCUAGAGUACGGCAGAGGGGGAUGGAAUUCCGCGUGUAGCAGUAAAAUGCGUAGAUAUGCGGAGGAACACCGAUGGCGAAGGCAAUCCCCUGGGCCUGUACUGACGCUCAUGCACGAAAGCGUGGGGAGCAAACAGGAUUAGAUACCCCCGUAGUCCCUGUCUCUUAUAC